RNAcentral lists this ribosomal RNA (459 nucleotides) under uncultured bacterium. RNAcentral describes it as "partial 16S ribosomal RNA". It matches the Rfam family "Bacterial small subunit ribosomal RNA", at positions 338 to 794 of the family's 1533-position model. The record is from RNAcentral.
CCUACGGGAGGCAGCAGUGAGGAAUAUUGGUCAAUGGGCGGAAGCCUGAACCAGCCAAGUAGCGUGCAGGAUGACGUCCCUCCGUGUUGUAAACUGCUUUUAUACGGGAAUAACGCGCCUUACGUGUAGGGCUUUGCAUGUACCGUAUGAUUCAGGACCGGCUAAUUCCGUGCCAGCAGCCGCGGUUAUACGGAAGGUCUGGGCGUUAUCCGGAUGUAUUGGGUUUAAAGGGAGCGUAGGCCGCAUGUCAAGCGUGCUGUGAAAUGUCCGGGCUCAACCCGGGCCUUGCAGCGCGAACUGGCGUGCUUGAGUCCGCGGAAAGCAGGCGGAAUUCGUGGUGUAGCGGUGAAAUGCUUAGAUAUGACGAAGAACCCCGAUUGCGAAGGCAGCUUGCUGCAGCGGAACUGACGCUGAUGCUCGAAAGCGCGGGUAUCGAACAGGAUUAGAUACCCUAGUAGU